UGGGAAGUCUUGCACAAUGGAGGCAACUCUGAUGCAGCGACGCCGCGUGAGCGAUGAAGCCCUUCGGGUGUGAAAGCUCUUUCGGCAGGGACGAUAAUGACGGUACCUGAAGAAGAAGCUGCGGCUAACUACGUGCCAGCAGCCGCGGUAAUACGUAGGCAGCGAGCGUUGUUCGGAAUUACUGGGCGUAAAGAGUGUGUAGGCGGUGCUCUAAGUUCGGUGUGAAAUCUCCUGGCUCAACUGGGAGGGUGCGCCGGAAACUGGAGUGCUUGAGCGUGGGAGAGGAAAGCGGAAUUCCUGGUGUAGCGGUGAAAUGCGUAGAUAUCAGGAGGAACACCUGUGGUGUAGACGGCUUUCUGGACCAUAGCUGACGCUGAGACACGAAAGCGUGGGUAGCAAACA
This 402-nucleotide ribosomal RNA is filed under the name uncultured bacterium. RNAcentral's name for it is "bacterial SSU rRNA". It matches the Rfam family "Bacterial small subunit ribosomal RNA", at positions 355 to 774 of the family's 1533-position model. The record is from RNAcentral.